This 720-nucleotide ribosomal RNA is filed under the name uncultured bacterium. RNAcentral describes it as "bacterial SSU rRNA". It matches the Rfam family "Bacterial small subunit ribosomal RNA", at positions 789 to 1515 of the family's 1533-position model. The record is from RNAcentral.
GGUAGUCUUGGCCAUAAACGAUGAUCACUAGGUGUCGGGGGUCUCCUCGGUGCCGCAGCUAACGCAUUAAGUGAUCCACCUGGGGACUACGGCCGCAAGGUUGAAACUCAAAGGAAUUGGCGGGGGCCCGCACAAGCGGUGGAGCAUGUGGCUUAAUUCGAUGCAACGCGAAGAACCUUACCCAGGCUUGACAUGUAUCUGCAAGCUCCCGAAACGGAGUCGCCUUCGAGGGUGAUACACAGGUGGUGCAUGGCUGUCGUCAGCUCGUGUUGUGAAAUGUUGGGUUAAGUCCCGCAACGAGCGCAACCCUCACGGUCUGUUACCAGCGGAUAAUGCCGGGGACUCGGACUGAACUGCCUCUGUAAAGAGGAGGAAGGUGGGGAUGACGUCAAGUCAUCAUGCCCCUUACGCCUGGGGCUGCACACAUGCUACAAUGGCCGGUACAAAGGGUUGCUAACUCGCAAGAGGGUGCUAAUCCCAAAAAGCCGGUCUCAGUUCGGAUUGGGGUCUGCAACUCGACCCCAUGAAGCUGGAAUCGCUAGUAAACGCCGGUCAGCCAUACGGCGUUGAAUACGUUCCCGGGCCUUGCACACACCGCCCGUCACGUGACGAAAGUUGGUUUUACCCGAAGUCAGUGCGCUAACCGCAAGGGAGCAGCUGCCGAAGGUAGUGCCGAUGAUUGGCGCGAAGUCGUAACAAGGUAGCCGUAUCGGUAGGUGC